UGGGCAACCUGCCCCUCUCUCUGGGAUAACCCCCGGGGAAACCGGAGCUAAUACCGGAUACGACACGCGAAGGCGUCUUCUGCGUGUAGAAAGAUUUAUCGGUCAGGGAUGGGCUCGCGGCCUAUCAGCUUGUUGGUGGGGUAACGGCCCACCAAGGCGACGACGGGUAGCUGGUCUGAGAGGACGGCCAGCCACAUUGGGACUGCGACACGGCCCAGACCUCCGUACGGGAGGCA
This 236-nucleotide ribosomal RNA is filed under the name uncultured bacterium. Its description in RNAcentral is "partial 16S ribosomal RNA". It matches the Rfam family "Bacterial small subunit ribosomal RNA", at positions 118 to 350 of the family's 1533-position model. The record is from RNAcentral.